AUUGAACGCUGGCGGCAUGCUUUACACAUGCAAGUCGAACGGUAACAGGCCACAAGGUGCUGACGAGUGGCGAACGGGUGAGUAAUGCAUCGGAACGUGCCCAGUCGUGGGGGAUAACGCAGCGAAAGCUGUGCUAAUACCGCAUACGAUCUAUGGAUGAAAGCGGGGGACCGUAAGGCCUCGCGCGAUUGGAGCGGCCGAUGUCAGAUUAGGUAGUUGGUGGGGUAAAGGCUCACCAAGCCAACGAUCUGUAGCUGGUCUGAGAGGACGACCAGCCAAACUGGGACUGAGACACGGCCCAGACUCCUACGGGAGGCAGCAGUGGGGAAUUUUGGACAAUGGGCGCAAGCCUGAUCCAGCAAUGCCGCGUGCAGGAAGAAGGCCUUGGGGUUGUAAACUGCUUUUGUACGGAACGAAAAGGUUUGGGUUAAUACCCUGGGCCGAUGACGGUACCGUAAGAAUAAGCACCGGCUAACUACGUGCCAGCAGCCGCGGUAA
This 498-nucleotide ribosomal RNA is filed under the name uncultured bacterium. RNAcentral describes it as "partial 16S ribosomal RNA". It matches the Rfam family "Bacterial small subunit ribosomal RNA", at positions 30 to 523 of the family's 1533-position model. The record is from RNAcentral.